AAUUGUGGUUUGUUUGCUGUUGAUUCAAUGUUGACAAAACUACAAACAUAUGUCAACAUUUGGAAUCCGUUAUUUUGAAACAUUUUUUUAACCCAAAUAUCCUAUUAUACUUAUAUUGUCCAGUUUCUUUCCAUUUUUUAAUACAAUUAAUUUCCUCUUCUAUUGACCAUCAAUACUUGACUGAUAGUUGCUACUAAUGAUCAAUCCUUUACUCCGUCUUUUUUGUUGUAGUCACUUCUUUGCUCAAGAUUCUCAUAUCCAUCAUUGAUAUCUCUUGGGCCAUCUUAUUGUUGAAUUUAUUUAUUUUCAAUUUUAAUCAUUUAUAAUCAUUUUUGACCUUUUUUGUCAACUUUGAUCAUUUCUCAUCUUUGUAAAACGCGCUCAUUUCAAUUUGCUCAAAAUCAAUUUCCUUUUCCCCUUUUAAGAUCUCAGCUUUCAUUUCUUUUGUCAAUGAGCUAUUGUCUUCUGAAAAGGGUUCAAUUUUUAACUCUAAUGUUUGUUUUAAUAAAAUGUGAUUAAUUGUGAUUAUGCUGUGUUUAAGAAGUCAAUUUAUAACUUUUUGUGUUCGCUUUUAGCUGUUUUUGCUUGUGAUUAUCUGUAAAGAGCUGAACCGAUUUGAAUUGGUGGUUUUGUCACACUGGAUUAGAGUUUUCUUUGAAGGCAAACAUUUCUGAGUCAAUUGCUUGAUCCAUGGAUUUAUCGAAGGAUAAUAACAAUAAACUUGGAUUGGCUUUUAAAUUGGUUUCUCAAGUUGAAUACUCGACUGGUUAAGCCAUCAUUUGGUUUGAUAUGAUUAAGGAAUUCAAAAAAAAGAUCAAGGCUUAAUUAUUUCAUCAAGCUUUCUUUCUCUUUUUUUCCUCUUCUUCUGACCAAUUUAACCUUAUAACAUUGCCUUGGUUGGUAAUGUUGACAUUUAAAUUACUCUGGAUUCUUGGAUAUAUUUAACCAUUUCGAGUGGUAAUAAACGUUUGAUGAAGAUGAUUAGCUGGUUUAAUUGUUAUUACCAUAGAUGAUGGCGAUUUGAUUUCCGCAUGAAUCAAAUUAAAAGGUUGACACUGAACCCUUAAGCCAUAUGCUAUAAUAAUGAUAAUCAUAAAGAAAUGACCAAAGGUAAAAAGAAGUGAAAGGCAAAGAAAAAGCCAUAAACAGAAUUGCGUGUUUCAUUGAAAAAACAUCAAUUCUGUUAGCUGGUAAUAUAUAUUACCUCAGUUUUCUUGUUGUCAUGAUUGUGCCUUCAUUUUACCUCCAAAAAACUGCAAACACAGGAAUAAAAAGAGAAACGUUUAAGGAAAAAGAAGUUUGAAGAUGAAGCCAUUAUUCUGCGGUGAACCGCAAAAAGAACCCUUUACACCUUAAGAAAAGGUAUUCAACAUAACUUGGUUUAAAACUUGAAAGUCUUUCUUUCCGUCUUCUUCUUUUCACAUUGUCCAAUAGCAGUUUUACAUUUAUUAUUAUUGAAAAGCCAUUUACGAAUCAUUUUGGUUGAUUUCAGCUUUAACUUUUUGCUCUCCUUUGGGAUUCUUGGGCUCUUAUGAUGAAAGGUAAUCAAGGUUAUUAUGCUUACCUUUGCAAAGCCAAAAGUGAAAUCAAUCAUCUUCAUUUUGGACUCAAAUUGGUUUAUUGAUCUGUAAUCUAAUUGACCAGUCUAUUGGAAACACAAUAUUCAAAUUGUCAACAAUUAAAGAUACAGAUAUGACUUGAGGAAUCAAAAUAAUUGCUGAACGAAAAGGUCAGUUAAGGGGCGUUACAAGCCAGUCCCAUGAACACAAAGUAUCUAUGGCUUUUGCUGUUCUUUGCUUGGUUUCAUCAUUAUCAUCAUCAUCAUCAUCAUCAACAGCAACAACAUCUCUCUUACCUUACGUUGCUUCUUCUUGAAAUCUGUCUUUGUACUUUUUCUUUUUCCUUACCACGUUGACUGGUUUCUUUCAAAAAAUCUUCCAAUUCAGGCAAGAUUAACCCUGAGGCCAAUUUAAGAGUUUACCUCAGUAUCUAAAGAUACUCAAUUGAUAGUUCAAGACACUCCCAGAAAUCAUCUUUCUCCUUCUCAUCAUCAUUCACAAAAAAAAACAAAAUGAAACAACGAUGAUGUAUAUUUGAGAUAACGAAUGUAUAUUACAUUGUGUUUCUCACCAUAAACACAUCGAACUUUCAUCCCUCUCUCAAUCCUCAUCCUAAUCAAGAUCCACUUUUUAUCAGCUUCAUCAUCAUCUUUAUCAUCAUCAUUUUUCUAUAUUCUUUCAUCAUCUAACUCCUCCUUUACUCCCCCUACACUUAACUUGAUUGUUUUUACAACCUAUCAUUAGUUUCAAUUUUUUGAUAUCGAUACACAUUCAUCAAUUUUACAAAUGUUACAUAGAAACCUUGAAGAAAGCCAUAAAAUGAUGAAAAUGAUGAAAAUGAUCGUUGAGCAGUUGAUUUUAAGAUUUGAUUGUAAAAAUAUCAUCACAAUUUAUUCGGAUGAUGAUUAAUUCACUUUAAUGUUGAAACCUGUUACAUCAAACAAUACACAACAAAUUUGGGAACAAUUGAAGGUAACAUUUCAUUUAAAGGAAGCAACAGUUUCAAUGGACAGGACAGGACAAAUCAACACUCAAUUUAUCACCAGCAUUGAAAGUGUGUUGAAUUGUCAACACGGGAAAAAAGCAAAACAAUGAUGAUUAUCAAACUGUGCGUUUCUUCGAGUGAUGAAAGUGAAAAGAAAAAGGUGGAUAUUCCUGUUGAUGAUAUGCGAUGGUUGAUGUUCAUCUUAAAUUGUAAAAUGUGACGAUAAAGCCAAGCCCAAAAUAAUACAUCGAGUUAGCAGAGUUGAGUAUCAAUGGUUGAACAUCUUGAUUGCUGUUGAUUUGUUUCUUCCAGAGAGAAACUGAGAAAAGAAAAAGAAAAGAAUCAAAUCAAAACUUUGCUAUCAUUUUAAUCAUUACAUUGGUUGGGUUGGGAAUUUUGUUAUUAACAUUACUGAUUGACUUGUUUCAUUGUUUAGAAGAGGCAAUUGCAUGAAAAAAUUCAUUUUUUAAUAACUAUCUGUGUAAAAUUUUUCAAGCUCUCAUAUUUACAUAGAAAUUAUUAUUUUAGAAUCUUUAUUUUGUGAUAACUAAUAAUUUAUUAUCAUAAGAUUCAAUGUGUCAAACUGAUGAUGAUGAUGCUGAAUGUAAUGGCGGAUGAUCAACAAUCUACAAAUUAAAAAAAAAGCUAAUUACAGGUCAAAAAUUUUGCGAUAAAUCACUUUCCAUGUAAUGGUAUAAACAUUUAUCUCUCAAAAAAAAAGUUUAUCGGACUAAAUUAUAGCUUAAGCAAUCUGAAUAUCAUCAUAUUCUAACGAUUAGUUAUCAAGCUCUUCAUCAUCAUCAUCAUCUUUCUUCUAACUCCUCAUCUUAUUUGCAUUUCAACCUCAUUUCAGGUAAGAGUAAAGUGCCUCAAGGACAUUUGAUGACUUAGAGGACUUUGUAUCUUUAUAUUAUUAUAUUAUGAGAAUUUCUCAUUGAAACAAAAACAAAAUCAUCCUAUGGUUAGUAAGGGUAUUACCAAAAAUAAUAACCAUGUUAUUUCAGGUAAAGGGCCAAACCUUAUUUGAUACAAAUAAAAUACAUCAACAGAAUAAAAUAUGGAUAAAGAGGCAACAAAAAAGGGAAUUAUAAAAAUAAUAAUGAAGAAGCUGGUAAGGAAUUAGAGAGAGAUGAGAUUGAUGAAAAACACUGAACAAAGCAGAUAGAAUGCGAAUUUAUCAGAGAGAAAACUAUUAAAGUAAAUGUUUAAUUACAAUCAAGAUGCUUAUUCAAUGUAUGGCUUCCAGGUUCAUGGUAAUUGCGUUUCAUGGUGAUAUCACAAUUCAAAUAUAUUCAAACAUGAUGAAGUCACAAAUGAAUAGUCAAUUUGAUGGCAAAUCACGUACCAGACGACUAACCAUUAAACACCAAUAAUCAUCGGACUCAAGCAAUUGGAAACUUAAUCAUACUCGAAUCGAUGCUCGAAUUGAAAGUGAAAAGCUAAAAGUCGAUGAUAUUAAGGCAAAUGAUCAUCUUUUUGGCUUCGGUUUCAAGUGGAUCAACCUUUUACUCUCAAUCAUAUAUUCCAUGGAUCAAUAUCCGUUCAUUUUGCAUAACAAGUAUUGUCAAGUUUCUAGUAAACUAACUUCCGUCGGUUAAGUAACAAAAAAAGGUUAACAAGGAGUCGAUUGAUUUUCGAAUUCGAUAUCGAGAAAUGUCCAAAAAUGCAAAGAUAUUGAAAGAUUUCAAAGUAAAAGUUAUGAUAAUAUUAAUCAAAUUAAAAGGAUAACAACGCAACAGGAGACUUUCCGUUUUCAUUAUUAGUACCUGUACUAUUAACUUCCGCAGUGUUAACCGUUUCAUAAUAUGGACUUUUUUGCGUAUUACUUUUAAAUUUCCGUCAUUUUUACUCUUUUUUUGCCAACUAUUACUUUCUAUAUCAUUUCAUGUAAAAUACACUUAUUGUUAUCAUUAUUACGUGCUGAUAACUUGCUUGUGUUGGUGUUUAAAGGUAUAUACGCAUAAAAAAACUGUUAUUGUUAUUGAAAGUGAAAUUAAUUAGUCUAUGAGUCUUAAAACCUAACCCUAGGUUAACCCAUAUCAGAAGCUGUAUUUAACCCAACCUUUCCUCUGAUUAAGCACACCUAAUAACUUUCACUUAACCAAUUAUUUGGUUUAUAAUGAGCUUACCAAUGUAACCGGAAAUUUUUAGUUUCCUACUUCUGUAAACUGUGAUUUACUAAUCUUUAAUAAUA
Non-coding RNA from Tetranychus urticae (two-spotted spider mite), 4738 nucleotides. The record is from RefSeq and is a predicted model, not a curated record. Lineage: Eukaryota; Metazoa; Arthropoda; Arachnida; Trombidiformes; Tetranychidae.